RNAcentral lists this ribosomal RNA (468 nucleotides) under uncultured bacterium. RNAcentral describes it as "partial 16S ribosomal RNA". It matches the Rfam family "Bacterial small subunit ribosomal RNA", at positions 28 to 507 of the family's 1533-position model. The record is from RNAcentral.
GAUGAACGCUGGCGGCGUGCUUAACACAUGCAAGUCGAACGGUGAAGGCGGAGCUUGCUCUGCUGGAUCAGUGGCGAACGGGUGAGUAACACGUGAGCAAUCUGCCCCUGACUCUGGGAUAAGCGCUGGAAACGGCGUCUAAUACUGGAUACGAGCUGCGAAGGCAUCUUCAGCAGCUGGAAAGAAUUUCGGUCAGGGAUGAGCUCGCGGCCUAUCAGCUUGUUGGUGAGGUAAUGGCUCACCAAGGCGUCGACGGGUAGCCGGCCUGAGAGGGUGACCGGCCACACUGGGACUGAGACACGGCCCAGACUCCAACGGGAGGCAGCAGUGGGGAAUAUUACACAAUGGGCGAAAGCCUGAUGCAGCAACGCCGCGUGAGGGACGACGGCCUUCGGGUUGUAAACCUCUUUUAGCAGGGAAGAAGCGAAAGUGACGGUACCUGCAGAAAAAGCGCCGGCUAACUACGUG